GGACUACUCGGGUAUCUAAUCCUGUUUGAUCCCCGUGCUUUCGCGCCUCAGCGUCAGUUGUCGUCCAGAUAGCCGCCUUCGCCACCGGUGUUCCUCCUAAUAUCUACGAAUUUCACCUCUACAUUAGGAAUUCCGCUAUCCCCUCCGACACUCCAGCCAUACAGUUUCAAAGGCAAUUCCUGGGUUGAGCCCAGGGAUUUCACCUCUGACUUGCAUGGCCGCCUACGCGCGCUUUACGCCCAGUAAUUCCGAACAACGCUAGCACCCUUCGUAUUACCGCGGCUGCUGGCAC
RNAcentral lists this ribosomal RNA (292 nucleotides) under uncultured bacterium. Its description in RNAcentral is "partial 16S ribosomal RNA". The record is from RNAcentral.